AUGCAGCGAUGCCGCGUGAGUGAAGAAGGCCCUUGGGUUGUAAAACUCUUUCGUCGGGGAAGAAAAUGACUGUACCCGAAUAAGAAGGUCCGGCUAACUUCGUGCCAGCAGCCGCGGUAAUACGAAGGGACCUAGCGUAGUUCGGAAUUACUGGGCUUAAAGAGCACGUAGGUGGUUAAAAAAGUUGGUGGUGAAAUCCCAGAGCUUAACUCUGGAACUGCCAUCAAAACUUUUUAGCUAGAGUGUGAUAGAGGAAAGUAGAAUUUCUAGUGUAGAGGUGAAAUUCGUAGAUAUUAGAAAGAAUACCAAUUGCGAAGGCAGCUUUCUGGAUCAUUACUGACACUGAGGUGCGAAAGCAUGGGUAGCGAAGAGGAUUAGAUACCCUCGUAGUCCAUGCCGUAAACGAUGUGUGCUAGACGUUGGAAAUUUAUUUUUCAGUGUCGCAGCAAAAGCGUUAAGCACACCGCCUGGGGAGUACGACCGCAAGGUUAAAACUCAAAUGAAUUGACGGGGACCCGCACAAGCAGCGGAGCAUGUGGUCUAAUUCGAAGAUACGCGCAGAACCUUACCAACACUUGACAUGUUCGUCGCGACUUUAAGAGAUUAAAGUCUUCGGUUCGGCCGGACGAAACACAGGUGCUGCAUGGCUGUCGUCAGCUCGUGUCGUGAGAUGUUGGGUUAAGUCCCGCAACGAGCGCAACCCUUACUUUUAGUUGCCACCAUUUAGUUGAGCACUCUGAAAGAACUGCCAGUGAUAAGCUGGAGGAAGGUGGGGAUGACGUCAAGUCCUCAUGGCCC
RNAcentral lists this ribosomal RNA (798 nucleotides) under uncultured Pelagibacterales bacterium. Its description in RNAcentral is "bacterial SSU rRNA". It matches the Rfam family "Bacterial small subunit ribosomal RNA", at positions 386 to 1201 of the family's 1533-position model. The record is from RNAcentral. Lineage: Bacteria; Pseudomonadati; Pseudomonadota; Alphaproteobacteria; Candidatus Pelagibacterales.